GCCCAGGUGGUGGAAUGGUAGACACGACAGACUUAAAAUCUGUUGCCCGUAAGGGCGUGUGGGUUCGAGUCCCUCUCUGGGCA
This 83-nucleotide transfer RNA is filed under the name Chloroflexota bacterium. Its description in RNAcentral is "tRNA-Leu". It matches the Rfam family "tRNA". From Rfam's summary of the family: Transfer RNA (tRNA) molecules are approximately 80 nucleotides in length. Their secondary structure includes four short double-helical elements and three loops (D, anti-codon, and T loops). Lineage: Bacteria; Bacillati; Chloroflexota. RNAcentral also lists the same sequence under 1 other name. The record is from RNAcentral.